CCUACGGGAGGCAGCAGUGAGGAAUAUUGGUCAAUGGGCGCGAGCCUGAACCAGCCAAGUCGCGUGAGGGAAGACGGUCCUAUGGAUUGUAAACCUCUUUUGUCGGGGAGCAAAAGACGCCACGCGUGGCGUUCCGAGAGUACCCGAAGAAAAAGCAUCGGCUAACUCCGUGCCAGCAGCCGCGGUAAUACGGAGGAUGCGAGCGUUAUCCGGAUUUAUUGGGUUUAAAGGGUGCGUAGGCGGAAGGUAAAGGCCGCGGUAAAAGUGAGAGGCUCAACCUCUUCGAGCCGUUGAAACUGGUUUUCUUGAGAGAGUGAGAGGUAUGCGGAAUGCGUGGUGUAGCGGUGAAAUGCAUAGAUAUCACGCAGAACUCCGAUUGCGAAGGCAGCAUACCGGCGCUCAACUGACGCUGAUGCACGAAAGUGUGGGUAUCGAACAGGAUUAGAUACCCUUGUAGUC
RNAcentral lists this ribosomal RNA (459 nucleotides) under uncultured bacterium. RNAcentral's name for it is "partial 16S ribosomal RNA". It matches the Rfam family "Bacterial small subunit ribosomal RNA", at positions 338 to 795 of the family's 1533-position model. The record is from RNAcentral.